This 1264-nucleotide long non-coding RNA is filed under the name Homo sapiens (human). Its description in RNAcentral is "non-protein coding lnc-ZNF592-5:1". The record is from RNAcentral. Lineage: Eukaryota; Metazoa; Chordata; Mammalia; Primates; Hominidae.
CUAAAGUCUCCUAAGAGCCUCUCUUCAAGGUACUCACGCUGAAUCUGUGUGAUUUGGCUACUGCCUCCUCUCCUUUUCUUUUAGUCACCCAGGCUGGAGGGCAGUGGCAUGAUCUCAGUCCAGCCUGGGCAACAGAGCGAGACUCCAUCUCAAAAAAACGAAACAAAACAAAACAAUAUACCACCAGAACAGUGCCUGACACUUAGUAAAUCAGUAAAUCAUGGUUAUUAUCAGAAUGUCCUCCCACUUAGAGGGCUGACAAACUCCUGCUUCUCUUCCAGACCCUGUCUAGGUGUCAUAUCCUACGUGAAGCCUGUCCAGACCGCCCCAAGUCAGAGUUAAUUGCCUUUUCAUUAGUUCCUCACCUGUUUCUUUUUUUUCUUUUUUCUUUUUUUUUUUGAGACAGGGUCUCCCUCUGCCUCCCGGGUUCAAGCGAUUUUCCUGCCUCAGCCUCCUGAGCUGGGAUUACAGGCGCCAGCCACCACAUCCGGCUAAUUUUUUAUAUUUUUAGUAUAAGCCACCGCGCCCGGCCAGUAUUUUUAUAUGUCCCUUAUUACAUGGAACUUCUAUCAUGUUCAAUCUUCUGAAUCUAAAAUAAGGUGUCAGUGCCUCACCAGAGAUUCUUGCUGUCCUAAAGAAAAGCUCAUUAACACAUUUGGGUCUAUAACUGGUGAACUCAAACUGAACUGGUGAACGAAUAUUUUUGGGGUGGAGUACUUCCUGUGUUGGGCCUGCCUAGUCCAGAUUUGUCAACAUCCUGCCUCCCAACUCCCACUGUUAACUAGGCUGCCCAGAGAAUAAUGCACAAUACCAGCCUCACCCCUCACCCUGGAGGCCCUAACCACACAUAACUUCUUUCAGUUCCCCAAAAGGCUCUGGGCAUUCCUUAAAGCCACUCUUUCUGGCAUUCUCUAGCCCUUAUUUCUCCCCUUUGCUUAGCCAUUCUUUACUUAAUCUUUAGGUUCCAUCUUAGACAUCAUUCCCUCCACCCCCAACAACCAAAGCCUUCUCUUAUCUCCCAAAAUGGCUUAAAUUAUUCUCCCAGGCAGCCACUGAGCCCUUCAUUCUUCCCCUAUCACAACACUUAUCACAUUUUAUUGUCAUUACUUGUCUGGCUCUUCUGGUAAAUUGUAGGCUUCACAAGCCAGGCAACAUGUCUGUAAAGCUAUCCCAAGUUGCAGUCCCUGGCCCAUAGUUGAUGUCCAGUAACUGCUGCUAGGAGAAAAAAUGGGUCAGGUGUAAUGGCUCAUGCCUGUAAUCCCAG